GUAAAGCAGAAGAAGGUGUUUAA
Molecule: non-coding RNA, 23 nt
Filed under: Arabidopsis thaliana (thale cress)
Lineage: Eukaryota; Viridiplantae; Streptophyta; Magnoliopsida; Brassicales; Brassicaceae
Source: RNAcentral